This is a long non-coding RNA of Ziziphus jujuba (common jujube), 1189 nucleotides long. RefSeq lists it as uncharacterized. The record is from RefSeq and is a predicted model, not a curated record. The transcript has 2 exons. NCBI's taxonomy places the organism in Eukaryota, Viridiplantae, Streptophyta, Magnoliopsida, Rosales, Rhamnaceae.
UGGACUUGUUUUUGGUUUUGUUUGAUGGGAUUGCCUAAUAAUUCGGAGGCAGAGUUUCAAAUCCCCAUUUUCAACGUUUUUCACUUUGAUUCCAUUUCCUUUAUUGUUACCAACCGUUAGAUUGCUUUGACUCAUAGCGAUACUCGUUUCCUUCCUUUCCUCCUAUAUAAAACCCCCUCUAGCUUCCCUUUUCCAUCUCAGCUACUUUUCUCUUUCUCUCAUACAAAAAAAAAAAAAAAAAAUCUCUUGUAUAAACGAAGAAACAUUCUUUUUGCCAUCUCUCUUCUUUCUCCACAGAAAGGAAAAGAAGAGAGAAAAAUCCACCAUUCAAAAAAUCUAACCACGAAUAACUUUCUUUACAUUCUCUUUGUAAUUUUUUCAUCAAUGGCACAAAAGGGAUUCAAAGACCUUUUGUUUUUCGAGGUGGCUCCAGCCCCCAUCAUUUUUCCGCAUAAGCCUUCCAAUUCUCCGGGUUUGGAGACAAUAGCCGAAGAAGAAGCUGAAGGAUAUGAUGAGGAUUGAGAAAUUGUUUCUAGGGAGGUUUUUUUGAACUCUGGAUCUUUAGAGGUUUCCAGAAUUUUAACCUGCCUUGGAAUAGUAUGUUUUAUAUUGACUGAUGAAAUGGUUUUUGAUAGAAACAUGAGUUAUGGGGUUGGUUUUCCAUUUUAUCUGGAGCUGCAGAAGAUUGGAGACAUAUAGAAGCUACUAUUUGCAUGUAAUUUUGCAAAGAAGGAAAUUAGUUUACUCAAUGAUUCUUUGAAUUGAGCAAAGAGGUUUCGGUGAUUAUUGAGUUGCAUAUAGAACUCUGUGUUGGUGUUGGUAAAGUAUAUGGGUCUGUCUCUUUCCUUACUCUUAUCCACGUGGAAAGAAAUUCUGAAGCACAAGAUUUACGGUUUAAGAGGCACCUUCGAUGCCGUACGUCCUUAUGACGUCCAUGAGCUUCCAGGGAAAAGAUGGAGAUCGUUUAUCUAAGGGGGCUGUUAAUUUUUCUUCUCCGUCUUGGUGGUGCAAUUUACGGCGCGAUAGGUCCUUUCGGUUCUUUUAAUUUUUUCUGGUGCUCAUUUUCUCUUGGGGCUUUUCCUAUUGGAUUUUUUCGUCCAAGUGUUUCAACGAGGCUAGCGUUUUGUUCAUGCCAUUUUGGGUUAUUUUUUCCUAAAGAAAAAGAUGGAAGGGUGUCUUAGUUAAUGAA